AAAAGCAUGGGAAUACUUUAAAUGUAGUCCAAAACGCAAAGGCAUUGUUAUUUGCAGUCUUUGCCAAAUGGAGUUGGCAUACCACACUAGCACAACAGCGAUGUUGGAGCAUUUAAAGCGGAGGCACCCCCUUGUCUCUCGUGGAGGGAAAAAUUAUAAGACAAAGCAAAGAACCACCUUGCUAUCUUGGGAAAGAGGCGCAAUGCACUCCACAGAAGGCAGCCGAACUCAGCAAAAUAAUCUUGAGAGUGAUCGUCAAAGACAUGAGGCCUUUGCCAUAGCUGGCAAAUAAAAGCUGACAGAAUAGUAGUUAAGAGAGUCAGUUUCAUUGUGCAUCAGGUUCUGUGUUGGGACUGUUAUAUUGUGUUAAACACUCAGGAAUUUCUGUACUGUGCACGGCACAGUGUUUGUUUUUGCACUAUAUUUAGAUACUAGAUACUAGAUUUUUUUGUUGGACAGUAAGAGUA
Gymnodraco acuticeps is the source of this 467-nucleotide long non-coding RNA. RefSeq lists it as uncharacterized. The transcript is spliced from 3 exons. NCBI's taxonomy places the organism in Eukaryota, Metazoa, Chordata, Actinopteri, Perciformes, Bathydraconidae. The record is from RefSeq and is a predicted model, not a curated record.